GGAAAACCGGCUCUGAGCCAAGGCAGAGUCCAGGGAGAUCCGGGCUCGCCCACUAACGUCUUAGGACUUCAUCCUCAGUAAAAACCAAUCAUUGCUCUUGUCCACCUACCAAACAGGGAUUUUUCUGAGGCCCGAAUAAUGUGACAUUUGUGUAAAACACAUGCUUUUUGAUCUGUAAGGUGUGGUACAAAUGCCAGUCACAAGCAUGGCUCCUCUCAAAAACAAACCUCUGACCUAAACUGGAGUCCACAUUUGGUUCUGGUGCCGGGGCACAAGCCUCCCCCAGCUCUGGCACUCUCUGCUGGGACUGGGGUGUGCACUCCUCACUCAGCUUCCUUCCUCCCCUCAGGCCCCUGUCCCCGAGGCCACUUCUGCCCCAGGGGAACCAGCCUCCCACAGCCCUGCCCUGCCGGCUCCUACAGCUACCUGACUGGCCAGGCCUCCUGCUUCCCUUGCCCCACUGGCUACUACUGCCCCGAGAAUGUCACCAACUACAGCAGGCACCCCUGUCCCGCUGGCUUCUACUGCCCCGAGGCACGAAGUACGCCACCCAGUUCCCCUGCCCUCGGAGCUACUAUGACCCAGACCCACUGACCCAGAGCCUGGACAGCUGCCUGCCCUGUCCCCCAGGCCGCUACUGCGGGUAGGAGAACCUGACCCGGGCUUCUGGGCCUUGUGCGGCAGGAUGGUUCUGUGUGUCUGCGGCAUGGACCGCCCGCCCCUUCGACCUGGACAACUACACCAGCACCAAUUGCCUGUGCCCAGCCACGGCCACAGGGGGAAAGUGCCCUGCUGGCUCCUACUGUCCAGAGGGCAGCCCAGAGCCCAUGCCCUGCCCACCAGGCUCUUUCUGUGGCACCUCUGGCACCCCGGCCACCCAGGCCUGCCCCUCUGGCCACUACUGCCCUGGAGGAAGUGAGACCCACUCGGGAGCUCCCCAGGCCUGCCCUGAGCAUACCUACCUGGCAACAGAUGGAGGCCAUAGUCAGGCGGAGUGCCUCCCCUGCCCUGCUGUGUACCACUGCCCAUGGCCAGGUAAG
This 1040-nucleotide long non-coding RNA is filed under the name Pan troglodytes (chimpanzee). RNAcentral's name for it is "lncRNA (ENSPTRG00000053019.1)". The record is from RNAcentral. Lineage: Eukaryota; Metazoa; Chordata; Mammalia; Primates; Hominidae.